GUAAGACCAGUGGCAACUCAUUUGGAAUAAUAGAGAAGAGGAAGUGCCCAAGUCAACUGCCCUGAGGGACACCGCACUGUACAUAUCUGAUGUUAGAGAAGCUUCCAUUGAAGAACACUCUCUGGGUCCUAUUGGAUAAAUAACAUUCCAACCCAAUGGAAUGUAAUUUAUCCAACAUUCUAACCCAUUCCAAUGGCAGGUGAUGUAAAACCAUAGCAAGUGAGUUUCUUCAAUAAACAUCAAAGGCCUCAAUGAAAUCUAACAUUUCAGCUCCGACUAUUAUCUUACUAUCCGUUUCUUUUAACCAAUCAUCAGUCAUCUGAGUCAGUGCCGUACAAGUUGAGUGCCCCAUGUUGAAAGUCAGGAGUUAACUUGUUCUCUGAAAAAUGGCAUUGUAUUUGGUCAAACACAAUUGUCUCCAUCAGUUUAAUAAGAACAGGCAGCAAACUGAUUGGUCGGCUGUUAGAGCCAGCAAAGGGUGCUUUACUAUUUUUAGGCAGUGGAUUUGGUUUAACUUCCUUCCACGCCUGUGGACACACCCACUCCUUUAGGCUUUGGUUAAAGACAGAGCAAAUAGGGGUGGCGAUACAGUCUGCUGCCAUUCUAUAUAGUUCCCCAUCAUGGUUGUCUAUACCUAUAGGCUUAUCAUUAUUGAUAGAUAACAAUGGUUUUUCCACCUCUCCAACACUAACUUGACCAAAUUGAAAACAGCAAAAUCCUUUUUCAUUAUUAGAUAUUUUAUAUAAACAUAUGAUGGUUCACUUGUUCAAUGUUUUAAUUUCACCUCUGAGUUUUUCCACUUUACUAGUUAAAUAGUCAUUGAAAUGAUUGGUUAAUAUCAAAAGGUUUUGUUAUAAAUUAUCCAUAAACUUCAAUGAACGAUGGAAAUGAAUUGGGUUUUCUGCCCAUGAUAUAAUUUAAGGUUCUCCAAAGCCUUUUCCAUUGUGUUUUAUGUCAUUUAUCUUGGUUUGGAAAUAUAAUUUUUAUUUAUUGAUUUUUGUUAAGUUUAGUCACAAAAUGUCUCAAGUUACAGAAUGUCAACCAAUCAGCUGAGCAGCCUGACUUGUGAUGUCACCUCUUUUUCAUUGUGUCUUUGAACCAUACGAUUCUUAAAUUCAUCAUCGAUCCAGGGGCCCUAACAGUUCUUCCAGUUAUAUACUAAACAGGUGCUGGGCAACAACUGGCAGGAAUAUUUCUACAAAUACUUCCAGUACUACAUCUGGAUUCUCUUCCUCAUACACACCUGGAUAACCUUCCUCAUACACAUCUGGAUUCCCUUCCUCAUACACAACUGGAUUCCCUUCCUCAUACACAUCUGGAUUCCCUUCCUCAUACACACCUGUAUUCUCUUCCUCAUACACAUCUGGAUUCCCUUCCUCAUACACACCUGGAUUCCCUUCCUCAUACACACCUGGAUUCCCUUCCUCAUACACACCUGGAUUCCCUUCCUCAUACACACCUGGAUUCCCUUCCUCAUACACACCUGGAUUCCCUUCCUCAUACACACCUGGAUUCUCUUCCUCAUACACAUCUGGAUUCCCUUCCUCAUACACAUCUGGAUUCCCUUCCUCAUACACAUCUGGAUUCCCUUCCUCAUACACACCUGGAUUCCCUUCCUCAUACACAUCAGACCAACAUACAUUUUAUACAUCGUCAACAGAAGAGUCCUAGAAAACAUUUUUUUAAUGAUCUCUUCAAAUUGCCAAAAGGCCCAACCUUUGGCAUUUUGGCUUUCCUCAUUAUUGACACAAUGGCACUGUCACUACAACCAACCAAUGUUUGAGUCAACAAAAGCAGUUUACUUACUAAAGUGGGCAAAAGCUGAAACACAUCUGACAACCACACAGGCUAGGAGCAACAUACAGCACACCAUUUGGGAUUCAAUCCAAAUCUCAGGCUUUGUAGUGAAGCACAAAUUGGACGAUGACAGUAAUAACAACAAGGAAAUCCACGUUGACUUGGACAAAUUUUUUGACAUUAUUUUUUUCCUCACUGCACUUCAUCUCUAAGACGGGACAGGCCUGGUCCACUGUCACUGUGCAAAUAAACUCAGGGCGUGGGAGAGGGCAAAACCAAGAAGACUCAAAGAUUUACCCAGAAAUAGAGUUAUCCAUAGAGAUUGGGAUUGGAAAUUUGGAGCUGAAAUGGAGGAUAGUUUCCAGAACUCUGUUAUGUAUAUCUACGGCUUGCCCUGAUAUAAAUGAAUCAGAUCAGACUCUUACAUUUUAAACACAAGACAUGCUUUCUCUUUCUUUCUCCAUUAACUGACGACAUAAUUCUUAAAACGAAGACAGAACUAAACACAGAUAGCAAUGGAAUCCAUAACCAGGAAGAGACAGACAGAACUAAACACAGAUAGCAAUGGAAUCCAUAACCAGGAAGAGACAGACAGAACUAGAAUCCAUAACCAGGAAGAGACAGACAGA
Oncorhynchus tshawytscha (Chinook salmon) is the source of this 2426-nucleotide long non-coding RNA. The record is from Ensembl. Lineage: Eukaryota; Metazoa; Chordata; Actinopteri; Salmoniformes; Salmonidae.